Mangifera indica (mango) is the source of this 85-nucleotide small nucleolar RNA. RefSeq annotates it as small nucleolar RNA snoR53Y. NCBI's taxonomy places the organism in Eukaryota, Viridiplantae, Streptophyta, Magnoliopsida, Sapindales, Anacardiaceae. The record is from RefSeq and is a predicted model, not a curated record. The transcript has a single exon.
CCUCCUAGUGAUGCUUCAUUACUGACCAUGCUAAUUCUGAUAAUUAGGUGACUGGAUAAUUCUUUUGUUAUUUUCUGAGGGAACU